RNAcentral lists this ribosomal RNA (468 nucleotides) under uncultured bacterium. RNAcentral's name for it is "partial 16S ribosomal RNA". It matches the Rfam family "Bacterial small subunit ribosomal RNA", at positions 28 to 507 of the family's 1533-position model. The record is from RNAcentral.
GACGAACGCUGGCGGCGUGCUUAACACAUGCAAGUCGAACGGAAAGGCCCUGCUUUUGUGGGGUGCUCGAGUGGCGAACGGGUGAGUAACACGUGAGUAACCUGCCCUUGACUUUUGGAUAACUUCAGGAAACUGGGGCUAAUACCGGAUAGGAGCUCCUGCUGCAUGGUGGGGGUUGGAAAGUUUCGGCGGUUGGGGAUGGACUCGCGGCUUAUCAGCUUGUUGGUGGGGUAGUGGCUUACCAAGGCUUUGACGGGUAGCCGGCCUGAGAGGGUGACCGGCAACAUUGGGACUGAGAUACGGCCCAGACUCCUACGGGAGGCAGCAGUGGGGAAUAUUGCACAAUGGGCGGAAGCCUGAUGCAGCAACGCCGCGUGCGGGAUGACGGCCUUCGGGUUGUAAACCGCUUUGGCCUGUGACGAAGCGUGAGUGACGGUAAUGGGUAAAGAAGCACCGGCUAACUACGUG